Molecule: ribosomal RNA, 433 nt
Filed under: uncultured bacterium
Lineage: Bacteria
Description: partial 16S ribosomal RNA
Rfam family: Bacterial small subunit ribosomal RNA
Source: RNAcentral
AACGAACGCUGGCGGCAUGCCUAACACAUGCAAGUCGAACGAGACCUUCGGGUCUAGUGGCGCACGGGUGCGUAACGCGUGGGAACCUGCCCUUAGGUUCGGAAUAACUCCCCGAAAGGGGUGCUAAUACCGGAUAAUGUCUUCGGACCAAAGAUUUAUCGCCUUUGGAUGGGCCCGCGUUGGAUUAGCUAGUUGGUAGGGUAAAAGCCUACCAAGGCGACGAUCCAUAGCUGGUCUGAGAGGAUGAUCAGCCACACUGGGACUGAGACGCGGCCCAGACUCCUACGGGAGGGAGCAGUGGGGAAUAUUGGACAAUGGGCGAAAGCAUGAUCCAGCAAUGCCGCGUGAGUGAUGAAGGCCUUAGGGUUGUAAAGCUCUUUUACCCGGGAUGAUAAUGACAGUACCGGGAGAAUAAGCUCCGGCUAACUCCGUG